Molecule: unclassified non-coding RNA, 9233 nt
Filed under: Homarus americanus (American lobster)
Lineage: Eukaryota; Metazoa; Arthropoda; Malacostraca; Decapoda; Nephropidae
Description: 6-phosphofructo-2-kinase/fructose-2,6-bisphosphatase 1-like, transcript variant X3
Source: RNAcentral
CUCGGCCCGCACAAUCGCACAUACACGAAGAGAAGCUAAGGCAGGGUUGUGCUGUCCCUUCUGUUGUCCGUCUGGUUCAUUCAUCGUCCAAGUGUAUCCAAAGCCCACCCAUGUGUAACAAGGUUUUAGUGCAGAAAUUAAGUGUGGGCCAAAAGACAUACCCGUACCAUAAAGAGUACGGAUUAACUGAAGGUUACAGUGAUUCUGUGGUGCUGUGGAGCUUCUCUUCCUAAAUCAUCUUACAAGAAACACCAGCAUCUUGUUAGCUGGGAUUUGCAUAAUAUUUGUACUGUCAGUACUGUCCAAAGACAGAUUGUAGUGUCAAUACCCAACACUCAUUAUAUAAUUGACAAUCUUAGAUUACUUGAAAGGAAACUCACAAAUUUCUGGCAAACGCAAACCAUUACAAUAUAAAAUUAAUACCUCUCCCAAUAAACUCAGCCACUUUGAAACAGUGAACAACCUUGCGAGCGAAGGGAAGCAGCCGCCAGAACAUCUUUGAGGUUCACGUAAUCAACUUCCGACUUUCUCUUGUGAACCGGAAGGCGUUCCUCUCCUGCUGGUGUUUAACAGUGACUUGUUGGCGUGAAGGUCACAGUUGAUCUUCGUCACGCGCUGCAGGUAUAUAUAAACCACUUUACUUUAGGCAGACCCAUACGGCUCCCGUGUACCAACAACGUAACCUGUCAGCAGCCGCUGGAAUAAUCAAGUCUGAAUUGCUGCCACUAUAGUACAUAAGGACAUUUGCUGUACUACUGUAUAGAUAAAAAAAAAAAAAACUUGAAACUCUUUACGUAUCACUGCUUGUAACCUGAACUUAUCGCGUCGUACGUUGCACAGGUUUUAAAAACUUUCGUGAAGAGACAGCCAACUUUGCUGUGUGACGUGAAAAUACUUGAUAUAGUGACAGGUGGUCAAAGUAUGGCACCCACCCCCACCAUGGAGCCAAGCGACGGGGAGGAAGAGUGGCGUCGCAUGGCACGUGAACAUCCUGUCAUGAGGCUCACUAGGAAUGACAAAGAAGUGGGGAUGGACUAUGUCAACAUCCCUCACGUGGUGGCCAUGGUUGGCUUACCCGCCCGGGGUAAGACCUAUAUAGCCAUGAAGUUGGCUCGGUAUCUCAACUGGGUCGGUCUUCCCACCAAAGUUUUCAACGUUGGUGACUACCGCCGGCAAGCUGUAGGAAGCUACCAAGGUCAUGACUUCUUCCACCCUAGGAACCGCGAUGGCACGAACAUUAGGAACAAAUGUGCUCUUGAUGCUCUACAGGAUGUGUGCGAGUUCCUACAGUCAGGAGGGAUGGUGGCGGUGUACGACGCCACCAACACCAACGAGGAGCGCCGUCAGCUGAUCCACCACGUCAUCUGUCAGAGUAUGGGGUACAAGCUAUUCUUCAUUGAGUCCAUCUGCAAUGACCCAAAAAUUAUUGAAACAAACAUCAUGGAAUGUAAGGUGACAAACCCUGACUACACCAACAUGGAGAAGGAGGAUGCUGUGAAGGACUUCCUAAAGCGCAUUGAGCACUACCGCUCCCUGUAUGAGCCGCUGGAUGAAGAGAAAGAGAACCAAUACAGUUUCAUGAAGAUAUUUGAUGCAGGCCGACGAGUGGUGGUACACAAGCAGGAAGGUCACAUCGAGAGCCGCAUCGCUUAUUACCUCAUGAAUAUACACAUUACCCCAAGGUCCAUCUAUCUGACGAGGCAUGGAGAAUCAGUGUACAACCAGUUAGGUCGUAUUGGAGGAGACACUGAUCUAUCUCACCGAGGUCGGCAGUAUUCAAAUGCCCUUGCCAAGUUCAUUUCUGACCAAAGCAUCCCCAAUCUACGUGUCUGGACGUCCUGCAUGAAGAGAACAAUCCAGACUGCAUCUGGCAUCAGUGCUCCUCAGGAGAGAUGGAAGGCUCUCAAUGAGAUUGAUGCUGGUAUUUGUGAGGGCUUGACAUAUGAGGAGAUCCAGGAGCAGUACCCCGAUGAGUUUGCUGCUCGUGACCAGAAAAAAUACUCCUACAGGUAUCCACGAGGUGAAUCGUACGAGGAUGUGCUGGUUCGUCUGGAGAGUGUCAUAAUGGAGCUUGAACGACAGGAGAAUGUGUUGGUGGUCGGUCAUCAGGCUGUUCUCAGAUGUGUCUUAGCGUAUUUCCUGGACAAGAGUGCUGUGGAGCUCCCCUACCUGAAGGUCCCCCUACACACAAUUAUCAAACUCACACCUCAGGCCUAUGGGUGCAAGGUUGAAUUCUUCAAGAUUCCCAUUGACUGUGUUGAUACUCAUCGAUCUAAACCCGUGGUUACGCGCAGUGAUGAAGGGAAGGAGGAAGACAUGCAGGGAGCGUCUAGUGAAGUAGACGUAAUAGAGGGAGUGCAAGUCAGUGUAAUACAAGGAUUAGUGGAGGGAUUGUCCGUGCGUGACAAUAGACCCACUGAAGCUCAAGAUGACAUGAAUAGCCAGCUCGGGGCAGUGGGAGGUGUUCACUUUCCAGAGUCAGCCCGUGCCCUCUCAGCAUUUAGACGGCCACGGGAGUAAAAUUUAGAUGACAAGAUGGAGGACUAAUCAGACCAUCUCAGACAAGAGUGAACAUUGCUUUGAUAUCUGCCCAUUCUGCAACUUAAAGUGAAAUUUGAUAGUAAAUAUUUUUUAUUUUGGCAAUGUAAAACUUGUAUAAUCAAGAACGAAAACUGGGAUUGCUGAUAAAUUAGGAACUAGUUGCAAACCCAGAAAGUUGCAUCACAGUGAACAUUGCUUCCUUCCCACUACUCAGUGUUUUGAAAUUUUAUUAAUACUUUAACUUCAAAAUACUGUGCCGUUUUUUUGUAUUUUAUAUUAAAUUAUCUGAUAAGAAAAUGUUGUAACACUUGGCUAAGGAACAAGUAAUAGGAAAUUAUCUCUGCCUCUGAGUCAGUCAUGCAGGACCUGGCAAAACAGAAUCUUAAUAUCCAAGACAAUACAGUGCAGUAUUUAAAAAUUUUUGUUAAUGAUUACUCGGGGUUAAAAAUAAACAGUAUCUCAUAUCAUUAUGUGGAAAAAUAUACAAUAUAAAGUGUGCACAGCAGCUUUUGUGAUUCAUUCUUCAUUGCAUAGCAGAUUUUGUUGUUUAUUUUUUCAAACUUACUCACUGCUUGUUACUCAUCUAAGCAUUCAAGACCAUCAGUGCUUGUGGUAAACCAUCCCACUCUGCUUUCAUUUGUUUGUGUAUUUUUAUUGAAGCUGUGAGGUAUUUAUGUUACAUAUUUUUGGGUUUUAGUAGCAUACACUUGAAAAGUACAGCCUCUGAACUGUAAUUGGUUAACCGCUUCUCAAAAAAAUAAGUUUACUUCAAAUGAGAAGAUCUUAAAAAUCCAAAAAUCUUUAUAAUGCAUUAUUGGCAUAAAGAUACUGGAGAGUAUAUUUUAAAACAAUUGUUUCAUAUUAAAAUAUGUAAUUUUAAUAAUUGCAAAGAUCUGCGACUGCUUUUUUUCAUGUAGGAAACACUGGGUAGACCAACCACCUCAACGGCUAGUAAGCUGAUAAGUAGUAAAUAGUACUGAAACAGUAUUUUUAACCUUGAUUAAUUAUAUCACUACGUCUCAUUGCCGUUUAUGUCCUGCUGACAGUGUUUAAAGUAGGAAGGAAGAAGCUUUCUGUAAUCCAAAUUAUUCUUUACUAACAAAUCAUAGGGAGACUCCAGGUACAUAUGAGAGAAUCUGUCAUGGGUUGGGGGAAGAGAAUGUCCCCUCCUCUUCUGAAGUGUUUUUGACGAUAGUGAAAGAAAAGGGAUCUUGUAGACCAGAUGCCAUUUUAGGGGUGGUGUGGAAGUAACAGACUGUAGAAAUUGGCCUUUGGUGCACAAGGAAACGAUGGUACAAACACUACUCUCUACCAUCUUUCACUGCUGUGAAGUUAGGUAUUCCUUCUGCAGUUGGGUCGAAUGAUGGCGACCUACAUGGUGGCUGGCCAUGGGACCUUAACCAAUGAUCAUUGGGUCUGGAGAUGAGUGCUGUAUUAAUUUAUUUGCCAAGACCUACUUGAUUAUGGUGCCUUAUAUACAUUGUUUAUAAUAUUCUUCAUGGUGUUCAAGACAUCUUUUACAAGGUUGUUUACUUUAUUCAUGGUGUUCAAGACAUCUUUUACAAGAUUGUUUACUUUAUUCAUGGUGUUCAAGACAUCUUUUACAAGAUUGUUUACUUUAUUCAUGGUGUUCAAGACAUCUUUUGCAAGGUUGUUUACUUUAUUCAUGGUGUUCAAGACAUCUUUUACAAGGUUGUUUACUUUAUUCAUGGUGUCCAAGGUUGCUUAUUUUACACAAUGGUGCCUAACAUAUCAUUUGCAUGGUUGUUUUUUUUUACUGUACUUAAAAACUACAGCAUUACUCUUUAUAUUAAAGCAUCUGAACUUGCUAAAAUCAUACAGGACUUGGUAGUCUGAGUGUGAAAUGCAUAAUUAUGCUUGACAUUCAUACAUUUCUAUAUUUUUAAGUAAGUCGAAUUUCACUGACCCGUGUCUAGAACUUCAUCUAUUUUUAUGAUGCUAAUUGGUAUAAGAACAAGCAGGCUAUUGGUUUGAUACACAUAUUCUCUCGAGGGUUCACUAAUCAUUUGGUCCAAGGAUCUCUUAUGAGUUUCAGUAGAUUUAGAAGAAAUAUUGUUAAUUUCUUGGUGUAUUAAGAUUCUGUUUUUGCCAUCCUGGUUAAUUGAGAAGCUGAUGUAUUAUUAUAUUUAUGAAUUUGACUUGGGUAAAACAAUUUCCAUAAAUAAGUGAGAAUAGGCUGUAUUGCAUGUGCCAGCCCUGUAUUGCAUUGCAUUGUGGGAAAGGUAGUCAUCUUUGUGUAAAAAUAUAAUGAAGUUUUAUUAAGACUUAUAUUUCCUUUACAGAAAAUUAGCUAUAUUUUGGGAAGUUAUAAAUGUAUUAAUAUAUUUACUACAAAUUAAUGUUUGCGAGGGACUUGCAUGCUUUUUUGACAUUCUUAAUACAGUACUGUACUUUGAUAUUGUGUGUUCUUCUGGUUACUGAAUGUUUUUGAUUGAUCUGCAUGAAUUUAAUGAGUUUUAUAAAUUUUGUUAAAGCCUCUUUAAUGGUCUCAAUUGAAGCAUUUUUGAGGUGUUAACUGCAGGUGAACAUUAUGGGUAUCUCUCCCUCUUAUACCUCAGGUUACGCACACCUUAAUAAGAUUCCAAUAUAUUUGAUGUUGAUGUCCGUCUUUUUUUUUAAUUCUCGGUAUAUUUUUUAUUUUUUAAUCAGUACAGUUUCCUGUUACUAUAUCCAGGUUAAAUUCAAUCAUUCCAUAAGUGUAUUUGUGGCUGUGUUAACCCAUUACAGCAUCACUCAUUCACGCCAUAAGCUAGUUUAGUUAUGCUACUUUGACGGGUGGGUAAAGGUAUUUUGCAGUGUUGUACAUUGACGCCGUUAAUUUAACGCCGUCAAUGGACGGUCGCAACCUUUUGUUAACGCUGACGCCAUAAAUUUUUUGGUCAGGUAAUGCUACAGGUGACGCAGUCAACUUUUCACCCGAGCGAAGCGUCAAGUGUCAAUUUGUUCGUCAACUUCUAAAUUUUUUUAUUUUUCCAAGUUCGAUUUUCAAUUAUCUUGUUAUAAAGACGACCUGGAGGGUGCAGUGAGGGAGACGACAAAGACCAUGUUGUGGAGGACGAAAUGUUCCAGGCCCUGUAUGAGACCCCCGCAGGAAUAAAAAACACAGUGACCUUUUCAAGUGUUUCCUGGGGGAGAAACCCCCGAAAAAAACUUUCGACAAGGACACCUUCCCCAACAAGGCCAUGAGGGACUUGUUCAUCGAAUACAACACCCCCAUCCCCUCUAGUGCUGCCGUGGAGCUCAUGUUUUCCAUGGGCAAGGACGUCUUGAGGCCCAAGCGCAGCAGAAUGAGCGACAAGCAUUUUGAGAUGCUAGUAUUCUUGUGGGGGAACAAAUGAAUAAUUAAAAUUAUAUAAUAUAAAUCAUAAUAAAUGAUUAAAAAUGAAUGAAUAUUUUUUUAUUUUGCACAUGUUACUCUCAUACACAGGAGAAUACGCGUUUCAUGGCUGCAUUUAAACGUCACCGAAAACUCGUUGACGCUAGGUGUUGACGCUGACGCUAACGGCGUCAAUUUAUGAAAUCGUUUAUGCCGAUGCUGACGGCAUCAAAUUUCUCAGCCGUUUACGCUGACGCUGGCAGCACCACUUUUUUCCGUUGACGUGUACAACACUGGUAUUUUAUAUGAAAGUAAGAACCAAGUACAACCAUUCCACAAUAACUCUAUUUACCAAGUUCAAUUAUUGCACGAACAUAUCAUAGUAAAGUUAAGGUGCUCCACAACUACGGUCACCCAUGAUGCAACACAUCCUGCGCUCUAUUUUCUCUGUUAUUAUUCUCCUCUUCAAAGCCUUAAAGUGGAAUAAGUGGAAAAUAAAGUGGUAGUAGUGAAUCUAGUAGGAGGAGGCAGCAAAAAGUUAUAUAAUUCAGCCAAAAAGUUAUUGAACAAACUGGCUAGAGUACUGGGAGUAUGGCAUCACCGAGUUGACAUUGUGAGUAAAUAGAGAAGGUUGAUUUAGGUAUAACAAUUAAUGUGGUAGUAAGCAUUUAUAAAGUGGGAAAAAGGGAUAGUAGUUGGGUAGAAGCCCAGGAACAUAACCAAGAUACAUAGUCAGGACUUAUUGUAUACUGUAUAGGUACAUUUCUUCAGUAGGACAUUUAGCCGCCCACCCCAUUGUUUAUAGUUGUCAGUCCUACUGUUAGGAUUGGAGCUCACAAAGACUCGUUUGUUAUGAUUGGACCCCAGUUCAUUUGAUCAGUCAUUUUUAUCGCGUACGUAAUGUCAAAUCAUAAACUAGACAGGUUAUUGCUUCACUUUUUCUUUUGUAAUAUAACUAUGACUACCUACCGAGUAAUAUUCAUGCACUCGGUGACUACAUUGGAGUACAUACAGUGUAUAGUACUAGAGAUAUAUCAUGAGUACCUGUUCUACUUUUUUGUAUGUUAUAUGAUUACAUUCCAGUAUUAAACAUAAAUUAUUUAGGGUGUGUAUCCUGUCUAAUGCCCUUUGGUCACAUCUUAGUAUGACUGUACAAGAGUUUAACUCUAUGUACAAAGUCAAGAUAUUGCACACGCACAUUUUACCUGCAAAUUAAUUUUUCAGCAUAGGAAUUGGUGCAUAUGGUUUUAGUAGAUAGUUACUGAGUUAUGAAAGUAACUGUUAGGAAGUGAUAUUAUCCUUUGUAAAGUAAAAUAUCACCAAAAAAUAUCAAAAUAGAUAUGGCCUCAACUCCAUAUUCUGAAAGUUGGUGGGGAUAUUACAUGCUGUUGAUUGCACAAAUCAGAUCUCACAGAUGUAGCCUCGUGCACUAAGCACUAAACCCAUCCCAUAAAUGUUGUGAAAUGGCAUACUUUAUGUUAGCCGUCCCUUAGAGGUGUGUACUGUUUAAUGAUCUAUAAUUGACUGCGAGAUAAUUUUUUUUUUUUUUAUAUUACUGCUUCACCAAAUUCCACUCUUUGUACAUUUAUCUAGACUUGAGAAAGCUUCAUGGAAUACUAUACUCGGUUUUCCCUAAGUGUGUGUGUUUGUUUUUUCUUAUUAUUUUAAAGCAAUGGAAUAUAAAGAGGUAAUGACUCAAACAUGAACUACAUUUCCCACAAUGUUUGGUGAGCAAUACUGCACUGGACAAGCAUCUCCACAAUAUACAUUUGAAGAUAUUUUUAAUGAGAAUUUUUAAUUCUGUUGGAUUUUGUCUGUAUAGAUAUAUUGUUUCUAUAUUAACCAAUUUUAUUUUCAGAGGAAAAGAUUUAUAACUGUAUAUGUAAACACACAUAAGACAUAUUUUUAUAAUUAAAUUAAAGGCUAAAGGAUGUUACUAUUAAGGUAUGGUUGUGGAUUAGUAUAUAAGGAACACACUCCAACACCUCCAGUAAUCUUGUAGGUAUCCCUGAAUGUGAAGACCACUGAUAAACACUAUCCAGUUUUGUUUAUCCUUGCUAAAGAGGAUAAAGUAAAGUAUAAAUGAUGGUGAAAGUAAUCUACUUGAACUGAGACUGACUGAUAGUGACCACCUUAGGGUUAAUGGUGACAAGCUUUUAAUUUGCAACUCAUUGAACAAUGUUGUGGAGAGGCUACUUGUUACCACAGGUACAGUGCCUCAAAUCAAAUCUUGGUCGCUGAGUAAAUGAGUGGGCGGUUUACAGCUCCUUGAUGUUGCUGUCCAUAGGAUGACUAGAUUUCAUUAUGUAGUCACUAAAAUCUGCAUCUUAUAAGUCUUGUGCUAUACACCAGGGUGUCCAAAUGGAUAAAUUAAUUUGAUAAAUCAUAAUGAAAAAUAUUGCAAAUCAAGAUUCUUUCGAGACCCAGUUAGCCAAAAGCUUUUGACACAGUUAUAUUCAAUUAGUGUUCUACCUGUAUUUAGUAUGGAGUCUCCCUCAAGCCAAAUUGACUCCUUUGAAGUCUUCCUAAUAUAUUUUAACCCUCUUGCGCAUCAUGACAUAAAUCAUGUCAAAUCAUUGGGUAGCAUUGUUUGCAUCGGUGAUGCGGAUCACAUUAUUAAACUUAAAAAGUUCUUCAAAAGAAAGUUUUCAAGAUAAUCACAUCAAAUUUUCAUGCAUCAUAAAUGACUGCAUUAUCUUGUGAGGGAAGCAUCCAGAAAGUAUCAAAAUGUGGAUGGUGUUCUGCAGGCCAUCAGUUUCCUCCCAUCAGCUGUACUGGUGGGUCGUAUUUGUCCCUUUAUCUCGUCUCCCAUUAUCCCCACAAUUAGUCAAUCAAAAUUUCAAAGCCACUGUUGGAAAGCUCAUAAAAUUCCACUUUUAAUUUUGAUAAUACCUUGGUAGGUUUGUGAGAAAAUAUCCAAGGUAAGAUGCCGGGAACACAAAUAAUUUUUUUCUUUAUUCUGAGUGAAAAUAUAUACAGUACAGUACGUACAGGGUAGUCUUAUUCUCGUCUUAAAUUUUUUCUGCUUAUGUUAAAACAAAAACAAUAACAAAGCCGGUGAUGUAUAAAUCAUACAAAAAAAUCCUGAUGGGAUAAAUUGGCUGUAGAUGGAAGAUGACCAGACUUGAUAUGAGUGGUCCCAUAUGAGCUUUGUCGUGAUCACAGAAAUUAAAAAUGUUAUUGCAAGCAUGGGAGGGUUAACCUGUAUUUAGUAGUGUUAGUUUUAUAGACCGGAAUUUAUUAUCAGUUUAUUGAAAUAUAGUACAUUUUGUUGUCAUAAGAUUUCGGUUCUCUGGGCUGGGAAACUGGAGGUUUUGGUGUUUAGCUUAAGGAUCAUCAGCUAUUGAAACUUGAA